CCUACGGGAGGCAGCAGUAGGGAAUCUUCCACAAUGGGCGAAAGCCUGAUGGAGCAACGCCGCGUGGGUGAAGAAGGUCUUCGGAUCGUAAAACCCUGUUGUUAGGGAAGAAAGUGCGUGAGAGUAACUGUUCACGUUUCGACGGUAUCUAACCAGAAAGCCACGGCUAACUACGUGCCAGCAGCCGCGGUAAUACGUAGGUGGCAAGCGUUAUCCGGAUUUAUUGGGCGUAAAGGGAACGCAGGCGGUCUUUUAAGUCUGAUGUGAAAGCCUUCGGCUUAACCGGAGUAGUGCAUUGGAAACUGGGAGACUGGAGUGCAGAAGAGGAGAGUGGAACUCCAUGUGUAGCGGUGAAAUGCGUAGAUAUAUGGAAGAACACCAGUGGCGAAAGCGGCUAGCUGGUCUGUAACUGACGCUGAGGUUCGAAAGCGUGGGUAGCAAACAGGAUUAGAUACCCCAGUAGUC
This 465-nucleotide ribosomal RNA is filed under the name uncultured bacterium. RNAcentral's name for it is "partial 16S ribosomal RNA". It matches the Rfam family "Bacterial small subunit ribosomal RNA", at positions 338 to 795 of the family's 1533-position model. The record is from RNAcentral.